This 1110-nucleotide unclassified non-coding RNA is filed under the name Dimorphilus gyrociliatus. RNAcentral describes it as "dgyrCDS3972". The record is from RNAcentral. Lineage: Eukaryota; Metazoa; Annelida; Polychaeta; Dinophilidae.
ACUUGGAUUCAUUGGACAGCUUGACUGCAGACUUUCAGUGUACCAAUUUACCAAUUUCUCUUAUAUAAGCAUCGCUUUUCUCUAUUUCAAGAAACUUCAAUAUGCCGAAAUAUACUUUGCAUUACUUUGAUGGUCGUGGUAGAGGAGAAGGUAUCAGACUACUGUUCAAAAUAGCUGGAAAGGAAUUUGAGGACAAGAGGUAUACCUUCAGUGAUUGGCCUGAAUAUAAGCCAAAAACUCCCUUUGGUCAACUACCUGUAUUGACUGUUGAUGACGUUGUAAUCGCUCAAACUCAUGCAAUUGGACGUUAUCUUGCCAGGGAGUUCAAUCUAUAUGGUUCAAAUAGCCUUGAAGCCGCCAUAGUUGAUCAAGUUGUUGAAAAUAAUAGUGAUUUGAUCACUCCAUCUAUACCUUGGCUAUUUGGGGAGAAAGAUGAAGCAACAAAAGCGGAACUAAAGGCCAGCUAUUUUGAAACUAUUGGCGUACAAUUAAACCAUCUUGGAAAGUUUUUGGGAGAUAAAGAUUAUUUCCUUGGCGACAAAAUAUCAUACGCCGAUGUAGUAUUCUUCACUGGUCUGGAAUUUAUUAUACUAAAAGGAGAAGGUACCCCCGAAAUGUUGAAAGCGUUGGAAGAAGUUCCAAAUCUGAAAAAAUUGUACGACCGAGUUGCAAGUUAUCCGGCUGUUGCCGAAUGGAUUAAAGUACGCCCUCAAAAUUCGUUCUAAAUAAAUAUUUUGAAUAUCUAAAAUAUGAGAUGUCUGAUCAAAUUAAACGAAUACAAGAAACAACUUUAUACAUGAAAUAUUAUUUUGAAUUUUCAAAUGAUUUAUAUUCUGUAAAAGCGUUAAGUAUCAUUAAAACUUCCGAUACUUUUCAAGGAAAGACAUACUUUAAUACUUUGUCCUCAUCUAAUACUUUUAAGUACUUUGUCAAUGAAUAUAAAAAAGACAGCAAUAAUUUUACAUUUCUACGAAUAGAUUAGAGUAUCUCGUAAAGUAAACUAUUCGCCAUUUUAACGGUAUUACUUUUGUAAAAUUCAAAAUAAUUAUCAAUAAAACAGACAAUCUCUAAAGGAUAAUAAUAACAAUAGAGAACUAUAAUAAAGAGACA